Molecule: non-coding RNA, 410 nt
Organism: Styela clava
Lineage: Eukaryota; Metazoa; Chordata; Ascidiacea; Stolidobranchia; Styelidae
Source: RefSeq, a predicted model, not a curated record
UAGACAUCUAAAUUAGUUAGUAACUGGAUUUUAUUGGGUUGUUGCCCUUGGUGUUAAGAUAUUGUACCGUACAUUUGUUACUGUGAAGAAAGUGUACUGAUGUUUCCAGAAUGUAUUAUGCAAUAAUUUUUGGAUUGUGAAGUAUUCUCGUGGAUUCACAAAGUUUUCUUACCCGGUGUCAUAAAUAUUAUCGGUAUGUUAUUUAUAUUUGGAUCAUUGCUGAAUUUGGUAUUAUUUAGUUUUAUAAGUGUUCUAAGACAUGUUAUUUUGUUUUAGAAAACCGUCUUCCAUCUUUCAUUUCCGUCUAUUGUGAUGUUUGUGUAUUGCUGAGCAUUUCAUGUUAUGCUAUCAAUUCUUCGAAUUACAAUUUCAUUACAAGUUUUCAACAAUUGGUUGUGUUUGGACAAGGA